GCGAGUCGUAGGGUCUUGCGUAGGCCCCGUGGCGUAGCGAAAGCAAAGUCGAGACGUCGGGGCAGCUAGCCCCGACGGCAUCGGCGGCUCGGCGGACGUCCGGGUCCAAACGGCCCGUCGCGAAGAGGCGUCAAAAACCUUUUUCGCGACGGCGAGUCGUGUCCGGCUCGUCGGAGUCCGAGCAUGCGAGUUGGUACCCGAAAGAUGGUGAACUAUGCCCCGCCAGGGCGAAGUCGGAGGAAACUCCGGUGGAGGCCCGAAGCGGUUCUGACGUGCAAAUCGAUCGUCGGAGCGAGGUAU
RNAcentral lists this ribosomal RNA (300 nucleotides) under Afrarchaea royalensis. RNAcentral's name for it is "eukaryotic LSU rRNA". It matches the Rfam family "Eukaryotic large subunit ribosomal RNA", at positions 686 to 918 of the family's 3401-position model. Lineage: Eukaryota; Metazoa; Arthropoda; Arachnida; Araneae; Archaeidae. The record is from RNAcentral.